GUAAUCUUGCGUUGCUCUAGUUACUAGAAAUAAUAAGGAAGCUGCUAAUUGGUGAGUGGCAAAUAAGACUCUUUAAGAAGCAUCAGAAGCUCUUUAAGUAAGCCACUGGAAGCCACUCUUCAUUUCUUUGCUGUCGGAGAUGAGUGUCUACAUCCUGGAAUUAAACUUGACCCAGAAGGAGUCUGUCCCAUCAGCUGGUGUGACAGAAAGAGUUACAGGAAGGCAUCUCGCCUCACUUCCCUCCUCCGUGAUGCCAGACAUCUGAAAUUUGGGCUUUGGAGACGGCCCUGACAUACUCUCAGUCUUUACAAUUCCGUUCAUAUCAGGCAAAUACUUCUGCAGACCGUAAAUUAAAGGCUUAGGGUAGUUACCGCUCACUGUUAAAUCUAGAAAGCCAUCCAUCAAGGCUCCAUCAAGAAUGCGCCCAGGCAGACGCUUUGAGACAGGAGGAAAGCUGGAGGGUAUUGGGAAUGAAGGGAAGGAGGCCAGAAAGGAGACAAUGAUAAUCAAAGCCCUUCUGUGGCCCUCAAGGCUCCUGGGACGUGGCCCUACCCACCUCUCCAAUCUCAGCCACCAUUAUUCUCCCCUUGGCUUUUUGGCCUUUCUCUUCCUGAACAGGUCAUCCUUUCUCCUGCCUUAGGACAUCCCCAGUACCUGUUGCUAGAAUAUUCUUCCUCAGGACCUUCUUCUCAUGGCUGCUUUACCUUGUCAUGAAUGUCUCAGCUCCCAUUUCACUGACUCUGAAAGGUCUUCCUCGAUCACCCAGCCUCAGGUUGUCCUUCCUUCCAUGUCUACCCCAAUCCCUCUCUAUUACGUUACACUAGAUUAUUUUCUUUCUAGCACUUACUCUCUCUGAAAUGAUCUUGUUUGCUCAUUUGAUUACUUGUUUUCUGUCUUCCUUACUAAACUCUGUUUUGUUAUGAGGCUUUUGUUUUUUAUUAGAAGACUUUGUUUUGCCUAAUGCUGGGUCUCCUUAUCCCCAGCCUCUUGGAAAUUUCUUAGCAUUGAUUAGGUAGUCAAUAAAUGUUUGUUUAUUGAAUGAAGAAAUGGAAGAAUAAAAUAUAAACUUAAUUACUUCAAGAUG
This is a long non-coding RNA of Equus asinus (donkey), 1084 nucleotides long. The record is from Ensembl. Lineage: Eukaryota; Metazoa; Chordata; Mammalia; Perissodactyla; Equidae.